This 271-nucleotide unclassified non-coding RNA is filed under the name Glomus sp. RNAcentral describes it as "partial contains 5.8S ribosomal RNA and internal transcribed spacer 2". The stretch from base 1 to 65 matches the Rfam family "5.8S ribosomal RNA", at positions 84 to 154 of the family's 154-position model. The record is from RNAcentral. Lineage: Eukaryota; Fungi; Glomeromycota; Glomeromycetes; Glomerales; Glomeraceae.
GUGAAUCAUCGAAUCUUUGAACGCAAAUUGCACUCUCCUCGGAGAGUAUGACUGUUUGAGGGUCAGCCUAUAAAAAAUCGACAUCGUUGCUGUUUCGCGGUGACGGUCGUCGGAAAUUGGGUUAUCUUAAAUCCUUUUGGUUUUAAGCGACUUAAAAUUUUCGUUUUGGUUUCAUGAACGUUUCUAAGAUUUAUUUCUUUACACGUGUAAGGGUAUUGGUUUUGAUUAGAGGUGACCAUCAUAUCGGAUCGCGUCCAUAAUCUUUUAUUAA